Molecule: ribosomal RNA, 444 nt
Filed under: uncultured soil bacterium
Lineage: Bacteria
Description: bacterial SSU rRNA
Rfam family: Bacterial small subunit ribosomal RNA
Source: RNAcentral
AGAACGAACGCUGGCGGCAUGCCUAACACAUGCAAGUCGAACGAGACCUUCGGGUCUAGUGGCGCACGGGUGCGUAACGCGUGGGAAUCUGCCCUUGGGUUCGGGAUAACAGUUGGGAACGACUGCUAAUACCGGAUGAUGACUUCGGUCCAAAGAUUUAUCGCCCAGGGAUGAGCCCGCGUAGGAUUAGCUAGUUGGUGAGGUAAAAGCUCACCAAGGCGACGAUCCUUAGCUGGUCUGAGAGGAUGAUCAGCCACACUGGGACUGAGACACGGCCCAGACUCCUACGGGAGGCAGCAGUGGGGAAUAUUGGACAAUGGGCGAAAGCCUGAUCCAGCAAUGCCGCGUGAGUGAUGAAGGCCUUAGGUUGUAAAGCUCUUUACCCGGGAUGAUAAUGACAGUACCGGAGAAUAAGCCCCGGACUAACUCCGCGCCAGCAGCCGC